Molecule: non-coding RNA, 1598 nt
Organism: Oryzias latipes (Japanese medaka)
Lineage: Eukaryota; Metazoa; Chordata; Actinopteri; Beloniformes; Adrianichthyidae
Source: RefSeq, a predicted model, not a curated record
AAACAUUUGAAUAACUAAUGUGCUUGUAGAUUGGGUUCAUUUGUUUUUGCAAAUGAAGUUUUGUCAUUUCUGUUUAGAUUUUAACGUAUCAGAUAAAUGAGUAAAAUUGUGGUAGAAGGGUUAAUCUAUUGUCAAAGUGGUUUAUCUUUGGAAUAAACUUUAAGCACAUAGUCUGAUCUUUAGCAGCACAAUAGGAGUCUAGUUGACGUUCAGAGGCAAAGUUCUUUCAGAAUAGAUUAAAAAUAUUUUUAUUGCAUUUUAUACCAUUGUUGUCAUAUUUGGAAGAAGGUGCACCAAAUGAUAGAAAUGAUGAAUGUCACGUUUGACUUUCUUGCUUUUUUUUAUUCAAGUUAAGCUGCUGCAGCAAGAGGAUCCUAUUUGACAGAGAGUGGAUUGUAUUGUGAAAGGAACUUUUAUGUGCUGCAGUGCUGGCUCUCAUAGAGGUAAAGGUUGCAAACCACUGAUGUAGAAGAUGGAUGGAUGAUGCACCCAUAUAUAUAUCAGUCAAAAUGUUUCUCAUAAAUCUACAUAGCCGACAGAAGGCACAUAUUGCAAAGAUAAGGAAACAAAAACAGACAAAGCAAAAGAACUAUUAACAUUUUUGGCUCUAGAUAAAGUUUCAAAUGCUGGUAUGUAGGCAUGUGCAGAAUCCAUGUAACAUUUCUAACAAAUGUGUUCUUUUAAACACAAAACAUGUUGAAAUUAAGAUUUAUAACACAACACACGAAAGAUAAACUGAAUAAAAUCAAAUUUUAAAGGAAAAAUUACAUUAUAAAUUGACAAAUAAUGGAUUUUUAAUCUUGUCAUUAUUAUUAUCAACAUUAUUAAAUUGGGAGAAAUAGUUUGAGACUCUAAGGUAGUUGUGAGCAUUCAUCUGUUUAGCUCAUGUUCAGUUUUAGCUUCUUGUGCUGCCAAUGUUCCUGCUCUGCUCCCUGUCCGACUCACGCCUGGUUUCUGUUAGUAAUCAUCACAGAUGAUCCAGAUUCACUGAUCAUGACAUGGAGUCUGUUUGAGACCAUGCUUGUAGAAAGGGGCUCUGGCAUAAUUCAUGAUUUGUUUUACUCCAACUCCAAGGUGCCCUGGGGUGCCUUCUAGUGGCUAAGCCACUCUAAAUAGAGUCAAUUCACUGCUUUUGGUAUUCCACCAUCAACUACUGGGGAAGGAGUUUAAUAUCUGCAUCUUCAGUCCAUCCUCACAAAAACGGGAAAAUUCUCUGAAGAAAACAAAGUUGCUGCUCCAACAGAAACCAACAUCUCUAAACUCUGUGAAGUGAAGUGAAAAGUCAAAGCUACAAGUAUCAGGUCUGGACUAACUCCUUCAAAUACAGCAGACGAUGGAGCUGAGGCAGCAUUCAGACACGCCUCACAGGAGUAAUUGGGAAAGACUUCUCGUCUCUGACGUUGGAGACAAACCUGUGAAGUAGCUGCUGUGAUUUUACUCUUUCUGCCAGCAAAAUUCCUCAAGUGCUACAGUGUCACUAAACAAUGAAAAACUCUUCAUCUUUAUCAGCCGGAUCCUGCUUGUAUCAAUCUUUCUCUCUGAAUCUUAAGAAAGAUCUUUUUUUAAUACAGAGAAAUAAAUGUUUGGAUUUAUACCUA